Molecule: ribosomal RNA, 447 nt
Filed under: uncultured bacterium
Lineage: Bacteria
Description: bacterial SSU rRNA
Rfam family: Bacterial small subunit ribosomal RNA
Source: RNAcentral
CCAGACUCCUACGGGAGGCAGCAGUGGGGGAUAUUGCACAAUGGGGGAAACCCUGAUGCAGCGACGCCGCGUGAGUGAAGACGGCCUUCGGGUUGUAAAGCUCUGUCAAUCGGGACGAAGAAGAUGACGGUACCGAUGAAGGAAGCUCCGGCUAACUACGUGCCAGCAGCCGCGGUAAUACGUAGGGAGCAAGCGUUGUCCGGAAUUACUGGGUGUAAAGGGAGCGUAGGCGGGAAUGCAAGUUGGAAGUGAAAGGUAUGGGCUCAACCCAUGAACUGCUUUCAAAACUGUAUUUCUUGAGUGAAGUAGAGGCAGGCGGAAUUCCUAGUGUAGCGGUGAAAUGCGUAGAUAUUAGGAGGAACACCAGUGGCGAAGGCGGCCUGCUGGGCUUUAACUGACGCUGAGGCUCGAAAGCGUGGGUAGCAAACAGGAUUAGAUACCCCAGUA